RNAcentral lists this ribosomal RNA (253 nucleotides) under uncultured bacterium. RNAcentral's name for it is "partial 16S ribosomal RNA". It matches the Rfam family "Bacterial small subunit ribosomal RNA", at positions 524 to 776 of the family's 1533-position model. The record is from RNAcentral.
UACGGGGGGGGCAAGCGUUGUUCGGAAUUACUGGGCGUAAAGGGCUCGUAGGCGGCCAACUAAGUCAGACGUGAAAUCCCUCGGCUUAACCUGGGAACUGCGUCGGAUACUGGAUGGCUUGAAUCCGGGAGAGGGAUGCGGAAUUCCAGGUGUAGCGGUGAAAUGCGUAGAUAUCUGGAGGAACACCGGUGGCGAAGGCGGCAUCCUGGACCGGCAUUGACGCUGAUGAGCGAAAGCCAGGGGAGCAAACGGG